RNAcentral lists this ribosomal RNA (1545 nucleotides) under Streptococcus thermophilus LMD-9. Its description in RNAcentral is "16S ribosomal RNA". It matches the Rfam family "Bacterial small subunit ribosomal RNA". The record is from RNAcentral. Lineage: Bacteria; Bacillati; Bacillota; Bacilli; Lactobacillales; Streptococcaceae.
UGAGAGUUUGAUCCUGGCUCAGGACGAACGCUGGCGGCGUGCCUAAUACAUGCAAGUAGAACGCUGAAGAGAGGAGCUUGCUCUUCUUGGAUGAGUUGCGAACGGGUGAGUAACGCGUAGGUAACCUGCCUUGUAGCGGGGGAUAACUAUUGGAAACGAUAGCUAAUACCGCAUAACAAUGGAUGACACAUGUCAUUUAUUUGAAAGGGGCAAUUGCUCCACUACAAGAUGGACCUGCGUUGUAUUAGCUAGUAGGUGAGGUAAUGGCUCACCUAGGCGACGAUACAUAGCCGACCUGAGAGGGUGAUCGGCCACACUGGGACUGAGACACGGCCCAGACUCCUACGGGAGGCAGCAGUAGGGAAUCUUCGGCAAUGGGGGCAACCCUGACCGAGCAACGCCGCGUGAGUGAAGAAGGUUUUCGGAUCGUAAAGCUCUGUUGUAAGUCAAGAACGGGUGUGAGAGUGGAAAGUUCACACUGUGACGGUAGCUUACCAGAAAGGGACGGCUAACUACGUGCCAGCAGCCGCGGUAAUACGUAGGUCCCGAGCGUUGUCCGGAUUUAUUGGGCGUAAAGCGAGCGCAGGCGGUUUGAUAAGUCUGAAGUUAAAGGCUGUGGCUCAACCAUAGUUCGCUUUGGAAACUGUCAAACUUGAGUGCAGAAGGGGAGAGUGGAAUUCCAUGUGUAGCGGUGAAAUGCGUAGAUAUAUGGAGGAACACCGGUGGCGAAAGCGGCUCUCUGGUCUGUAACUGACGCUGAGGCUCGAAAGCGUGGGGAGCGAACAGGAUUAGAUACCCUGGUAGUCCACGCCGUAAACGAUGAGUGCUAGGUGUUGGAUCCUUUCCGGGAUUCAGUGCCGCAGCUAACGCAUUAAGCACUCCGCCUGGGGAGUACGACCGCAAGGUUGAAACUCAAAGGAAUUGACGGGGGCCCGCACAAGCGGUGGAGCAUGUGGUUUAAUUCGAAGCAACGCGAAGAACCUUACCAGGUCUUGACAUCCCGAUGCUAUUUCUAGAGAUAGAAAGUUACUUCGGUACAUCGGUGACAGGUGGUGCAUGGUUGUCGUCAGCUCGUGUCGUGAGAUGUUGGGUUAAGUCCCGCAACGAGCGCAACCCCUAUUGUUAGUUGCCAUCAUUCAGUUGGGCACUCUAGCGAGACUGCCGGUAAUAAACCGGAGGAAGGUGGGGAUGACGUCAAAUCAUCAUGCCCCUUAUGACCUGGGCUACACACGUGCUACAAUGGUUGGUACAACGAGUUGCGAGUCGGUGACGGCGAGCUAAUCUCUUAAAGCCAAUCUCAGUUCGGAUUGUAGGCUGCAACUCGCCUACAUGAAGUCGGAAUCGCUAGUAAUCGCGGAUCAGCACGCCGCGGUGAAUACGUUCCCGGGCCUUGUACACACCGCCCGUCACACCACGAGAGUUUGUAACACCCGAAGUCGGUGAGGUAACCUUUUGGAGCCAGCCGCCUAAGGUGGGACAGAUGAUUGGGGUGAAGUCGUAACAAGGUAGCCGUAUCGGAAGGUGCGGCUGGAUCACCUCCUUUCU